AACGAACGCUGGCGGCAUGCCUAACACAUGCAAGUCGAACGAGACCUUCGGGUCUAGUGGCGCACGGGUGCGUAACGCGUGGGAACCUGCCCUUAGGUUCGGAAUAACUCCCCGAAAGGGGUGCUAAUAACGGAUAAUGUCUUCGGACCAAAUAUUUAUCGCCUUUGGAUGGGCCCGCGUUGGAUUAGCUAGUUGGUAGGGUAAAAGCCUACCAAGGCGACGAUCCAUAGCUGGUCUGAGAGGAUGAUCAGCCACACUGGGGCUGAGACACGGCCCAGACUCCUACGGGAGGCAGCAGUGGGGAAUAUUGGACAAUGGGCGGAAGCCUGAUGCAGCAAUGCCGCGUGAGUGAUGAAGGCCUUAGGGUUGUAAAGCUCUUUUACCCGGGAUGAUAAUGACAGUACCGGGAGAAUAAGCUCCGGCUAACUCCGUG
Molecule: ribosomal RNA, 433 nt
Filed under: uncultured bacterium
Lineage: Bacteria
Description: partial 16S ribosomal RNA
Rfam family: Bacterial small subunit ribosomal RNA
Source: RNAcentral